AGUGAACGCUGGCGGCAGGCCUAACACAUGCAAGUCGAACGGCAGCACAGUAAGAGCUUGCUCUUACGGGUGGCGAGUGGCGGACGGGUGAGGAAUACAUCGGAAUCUACUUUUUCGUGGGGGAUAACGUAGGGAAACUUACGCUAAUACCGCAUACGACGUACGGGUGAAAGCAGGGGAUCUUCGGACCUUGCGCGAUUGAAUGAGCCGAUGUCGGAUUAGCUAGUUGGCGGGGUAAAGGCCCACCAAGGCGACGAUCCGUAGCUGGUCUGAGAGGAUGAUCAGCCACACUGGAACUGAGACACGGUCCAGACUCCUACGGGAGGCAGCAGUGGGGAAUAUUGGACAAUGGGCGAAAGCCUGAUCCAGCCAUGCCGCGUGGGUGAAGAAGGCCUUCGGGUUGUAAAGCCCUUUUGUUGGGGAAGAAAAGCAGCAGGUUAAUACCCCGCUGUUCUGACGGUACCCAAAGAAUAAGCACCGGCUAACUUCGUG
This 492-nucleotide ribosomal RNA is filed under the name uncultured bacterium. Its description in RNAcentral is "partial 16S ribosomal RNA". It matches the Rfam family "Bacterial small subunit ribosomal RNA", at positions 29 to 507 of the family's 1533-position model. The record is from RNAcentral.